CCCAGAUAGCCUACCCAGGUAGGAUUAAUCAUUGGCAUUGAUUAAUUAAUUCAAUUUGCUUUUGCAAAUUCAUUCACGUCCAACUUCCACAUUACUGGUACAGUACUGAUGGUUCGUCAACAUCUAUAAAUAGAUUAAACUUGUCUUUGCAGCUUCCAAUGAAUUCCAAACCCAAACAUUGAAAAAAAAAUAGGAACAUUUUUCCUCUAAAUUUUUCUAAUAAUGUGCAAGCUACCAAAGGAGGUGGUCACCACUCCUCCGCUAAUUAGUGAACCUCCACCCAUAAAAGGAUUGAUCUCUGACCUCAGCAGGGAUACCAACCCUAAUUAUGACAUUAGCGAAAACACAGCCGAAAUUGCGAACGCUCUCCAAAAUCAACCAUCAAACACAGGCUUUGUGACGGUUCUCUCCACUUUAGCACUUAUGUAUCGCCAUCAAAGGUUGGCAUCGAUCCAAUACCACAGUGCACAGCUGAAGCACGUGCAAGACAUGGCUAACAUGAGGGCAAAGGUGGAGAGAACUGAGCAACUAUUGACAAAAGCAGGAAAUGAAAACAUUCUGCUAGCCGAGGAACUGCGUUUGAAAUUGGAAGAAUUAAAAGUAAUUGCAAAUACUUAUGACGAUGAACGAGCACAAACUCUCGAACAAAAUCGUCAUCUGCAGGAACAACUCGAUUUAGCCAAAACUAAAUACGAUGUAGUCCACUCCAAACUCGAGUUAUCUAUAAACAGGAGCGCACAAUUUGAUAACAUGCAGGCAGUUUUGUUGAACGUUACUCAAGGUAACAAUGUUCUACUCCAAAUUCUGCAGACCAAAGACGAUCAGUUGAUGACCACAAUGACAAAGUUGGAUGACAAAUCAGCAGAACUUAUUGAAGUCGCUGACCAAAUGAAUGAUGAGAGAACUCAGGUGAUGAGGAUGGAAAUAUUGAUUUCUAAGCAAGCAGAGGAAAUCUCAUCACUGAAUCUCUCGCUCCGUACUCGAGACCUCUAUCUGCAAACCAUGACAGAUAAGUUUGAGCCCGAAAGGAGCAGAUGUGACACUCACGUGUCCAAAAUUGGUACUCUAAGCGCUCAAGUGGACUCUGCAAUGCAACAGAAGACCACCCUUAGGUACCAUCUGGAGGAAGUCCAGAAUGGUCACGCUCUACAGCAUGACUACCCAUCCAAGCAACCGGAGUCCGGUACUCAAAGGAGUGAAGACGAUAGGUUUCAGACAUUGCAUCCAUCAUGUGUCCCUCAGUCUUCUCCUCUUGGCCAUUCGGCACUGAGUAAUAUGGAGCCUCUUGGCCAACAAAGCCAAAGCACGGCUUCUCCUCUUGGCCUGUCGGUCCCAAUUUCUCCACAGGAUGAAGCCAACCCUCUCCGGCCGCUUGACGCGGAAUACCUUGACAAACUCGUCAAGAAUUUCC
Molecule: long non-coding RNA, 1411 nt
Filed under: Salmo trutta (river trout)
Lineage: Eukaryota; Metazoa; Chordata; Actinopteri; Salmoniformes; Salmonidae
Description: lncRNA (ENSSTUG00000036833.1)
Source: RNAcentral